Non-coding RNA from Nelumbo nucifera (sacred lotus), 771 nucleotides. NCBI's taxonomy places the organism in Eukaryota, Viridiplantae, Streptophyta, Magnoliopsida, Proteales, Nelumbonaceae. The record is from RefSeq and is a predicted model, not a curated record.
GUUUGCGAUACAUAUAUGUAUCGAAAAUGAGUGUAAAACUAUAUUUUCUGACAUGAAUGUAUCGAUUGAAGAGUGCAUUACUGCAUCGAUUUUUUUGAUGCAAUCUUGCUCUCUUCGCUCGACGAUGUAAUUAGGGUAUGCAUUUGCUUUCAACUGUGUGAGAAAAAUAGCCGUUUUAGGUGAGAGGAGAUCUGCUGUGCCAUCGCCCCCCUCCCCACCGCCUUCUAACGGUACUUUCUCACCUCCAUCUCCGACCAAGGCAUGGUCGCCGGUGGUCGGCGAUCAGUAUCUUGUGUUUUUUUCUGACUUGUGUUUUGCUAUGUUCAUUUUUCAUGUCGUUUGGUUGCGGGGUUCCUGCCAAUCUGAUAGGAGGUUGAAGAUCUUCACUUCGAUCUACACAAGACCUAGCCAAGUUUACACAUCUUUCGCUCUGUCUUCAACAAUCAAUGUGUAGGAUGAAAAAAUCUUAUGUUGUGUUCAAGGGGAGAAAGCCAGGUGUGUAUGACUCAUGGCCCGAGUGUCAAAAGCAAGUUGCUGGGUUCAGAGGGAAUUCUUAUUGUUCAUAUAACAGUUGAGAAGAAACUGAAGAUGUAUACUAUAAGUAUUGUGAAGUACAACUAGAUACAACAUAUUCCUUUGAGAAGUUGGUUGUAGAGCCAUCCACAUCAACAAUUAGGCCAUAUCUGAUAGGAGGCAUCAUUGGAUUCUUUACUGGGAUUGUGGCAUGGGGGUUGUUUAAUUAGCCAAAUCAUUUGGAAUGUUAUGGAGAGA